Molecule: ribosomal RNA, 527 nt
Filed under: Rhipicephalus microplus (southern cattle tick)
Lineage: Eukaryota; Metazoa; Arthropoda; Arachnida; Ixodida; Ixodidae
Description: SSU rRNA
Rfam family: Eukaryotic small subunit ribosomal RNA
Source: RNAcentral
CGGUCUAGUACAUGCCGAAAUAAGGCGAAACCGCGAAUGGCUCAUUAAAUCAGUUAUGGUUCCUUAGAUCGUUUCUUCCUACUUGGAUAACUGUGGCAAUUCUAGAGCUAAUACAUGCAGUGAGCCUGGAGCCCUUUGGGUAACGGGUGCUUUUAUUAGACCAAGAUCGAUCGGGUUUCGGCCCGUAUUGUGUGGUGACUCUGGAUAACUUUGUGCUGAUCGCAUGGCCACGAGCCGGCGACGUUUCUUUCAAGUGUCUGCCUUAUCAACUUUCGAUGGUAGGUUACUUGCUUACCAUGGUUGUUACGGGUAACGGAGAAUCAGGGUUCGAUUCCGGAGAGGGAGCCUGAGAAACGGCUACCACAUCCAAGGAAGGCAGCAGGCGCGCAAAUUACCCACUCCCGGCACGGGGAGGUAGUGACGAAAAAUAACAAUACGGGACUCUUUUGAGGCCCCGUAAUUGAAAUGAGUACACUCUAAAUCCUUUAACGAGGAUCAAUUGGAGGGCAAGUCUGUCCCAGCAGCCA